RNAcentral lists this transfer RNA (71 nucleotides) under Manis pentadactyla (Chinese pangolin). RNAcentral's name for it is "tRNA-Ala". It matches the Rfam family "tRNA". From Rfam's summary of the family: Transfer RNA (tRNA) molecules are approximately 80 nucleotides in length. Their secondary structure includes four short double-helical elements and three loops (D, anti-codon, and T loops). Lineage: Eukaryota; Metazoa; Chordata; Mammalia; Pholidota; Manidae. The record is from RNAcentral.
UAAGGAUUUAGCUUAAUUAAAGUGCCUGAUUUGCAUUUAGGUGAUGUAGGUUGAAUUUCUGCAGUCCUUAG